GAUAAACGCUGGCGGCGUGCAUGAGACAUGCAAGUCGAACGGACGAUUGGGGCUUGCUCCGAUCGUUAGUGGCGGACGGCUGAGUAACGCGUGGGUGACCUACCCCGAAGUGGGGAAUAACUGCCCGAAAGGGUGGCUAAUACCGCAUACGAUCGGCAAUUCAUUUUGCCGAUCAAAGCAGUGAUGCGCUUUGGGAGGGGCCUGCGUCCGAUUAGCUCGUUGGUGGGGUAAUGGCUCACCAAGGCGACGAUCGGUAGGUGGUCUGAGAGGACGAUCACCCAGACUGGGACUGAGACACGGCCCAGACUCCUACGGGUGGCAG
Molecule: ribosomal RNA, 322 nt
Filed under: uncultured Chloroflexota bacterium
Lineage: Bacteria; Bacillati; Chloroflexota
Description: bacterial SSU rRNA
Rfam family: Bacterial small subunit ribosomal RNA
Source: RNAcentral